AGACCGAUAGCGAACAAGUACCGUGAGGGAAAGAUGAAAAGCACUUUGGAAAGAGAGUUAAACAGUACGUGAAAUUGCUGAAAGGGAAACGAUUGAAGUCAGUCGCGUCGUCUAGAACUCAACCUUGCCUUGGCUCGGUGCAUUUUCUAGUUGACGGGCCAGCAUCAGUUUUGACCGUCGGAAAAAGGUCCUCGGAAUGUGGCACCUUCGGGUGUGUUAUAGCCUUGGGUCGUAUACGACGGUUGGGACUGAGGACCGCAGCACGCCUUUAUGGCCGGGGUUCGCCCACGUACGUGCUUAGGAUGCUGGCGUAAUGGCUUUAAACGACCCGUCUUGAAACACGGACCAAG
This 350-nucleotide ribosomal RNA is filed under the name Phlebia sp. RNAcentral's name for it is "partial large subunit ribosomal RNA". It matches the Rfam family "Eukaryotic large subunit ribosomal RNA", at positions 331 to 670 of the family's 3401-position model. The record is from RNAcentral. Lineage: Eukaryota; Fungi; Basidiomycota; Agaricomycetes; Polyporales; Meruliaceae.